GAUGAACGCUGGCGGCGUGCCUAAUACAUGCAAGUCGAGCGAACAGACGAGGAGCUUGCUCCUUCGACGUUAGCGGCGGACGGGUGAGUAACACGUAGGUAACCUACCUAUAAGAAUGGGAUAACUUCGGGAAACCGGAGCUAAUACCGGAUAAUAUUUCGCACCGCAUGGUUCGAUAGUGAAAGAUGGCUUUGCUAUCACUUAUAGAUGGACCUGCGCCGUAUUAGCUAGUUGGUAAGGUAACGGCUUACAAAGGCAACGAUACGUAGCCGACCUGAGAGGGUGAUCGGCUACACGGGAACUGAGACACGGUCCAGACUCCUACGGGAGGCAGCAGUAGGGAAUCUUCCGCAAUGGGCGAAAGCCUGACGGAGCAACGCCGCGUGAGUGAUGAAGGUCUUCGGAUCGUAAAACUCUGUUAGUAGGGAAGAACAAACGUGUAAGUAACUGUGCACGUCUUGACGGUACCUAAUCAGAAAGCCACGGCUAACUACGUG
Molecule: ribosomal RNA, 497 nt
Filed under: uncultured bacterium
Lineage: Bacteria
Description: partial 16S ribosomal RNA
Rfam family: Bacterial small subunit ribosomal RNA
Source: RNAcentral